This 301-nucleotide RNase P RNA is filed under the name Escherichia coli. RNAcentral describes it as "RNA component of RNase P". It matches the Rfam family "Bacterial RNase P class A", at positions 43 to 351 of the family's 367-position model. Rfam says of the family: Ribonuclease P (RNase P) is a ubiquitous endoribonuclease, found in archaea, bacteria and eukarya as well as chloroplasts and mitochondria. The record is from RNAcentral. Lineage: Bacteria; Pseudomonadati; Pseudomonadota; Gammaproteobacteria; Enterobacterales; Enterobacteriaceae. RNAcentral also lists the same sequence under 28 other names.
GAGGAAAGUCCGGGCUCCAUAGGGCAGGGUGCCAGGUAACGCCUGGGGGGGAAACCCACGACCAGUGCAACAGAGAGCAAACCGCCGAUGGCCCGCGUAAGCGGGAUCAGGUAAGGGUGAAAGGGUGCGGUAAGAGCGCACCGCGCGGCUGGUAACAGUCCGUGGCACGGUAAACUCCACCCGGAGCAAGGCCAAAUAGGGGUUCAUAAGGUACGGCCCGUACUGAACCCGGGUAGGCUGCUUGAGCCAGUGAGCGAUUGCUGGCCUAGAUGAAUGACUGUCCACGACAGAACCCGGCUUA